AACGAACGCUGGCGGCAGGCCUAACACAUGCAAGUCGAACGCUCCGCAAGGGGAGUGGCAGACGGGUGAGUAACACGUGGGAACCUACCUCGAGGUGCGGAACAACCAAGGGAAACUUUGGCUAAUACCGCAUGUGCCCUUAGGGGGAAAGAUUUAUCGCCUUGGGAUGGGCCCGCGUCGGAUUAGCUAGUUGGUGUGGUAAUGGCGCACCAAGGCGACGAUCCGUAGCUGGUCUGAGAGGAUGAUCAGCCACACUGGGACUGAGACACGGCCCAGACUCCUACGGGAGGCAGCAGUGGGGAAUAUUGGACAAUGGGCGCAAGCCUGAUCCAGCCAUGCCGCGUGUGUGAUGAAGGCCUUAGGGUUGUAAAGCACUUUCGCCGAUGAAGAUAAUGACUGUAGUCGGAGAAGAAGCCCCGGCUAACUUCGUG
Molecule: ribosomal RNA, 431 nt
Filed under: uncultured bacterium
Lineage: Bacteria
Description: bacterial SSU rRNA
Rfam family: Bacterial small subunit ribosomal RNA
Source: RNAcentral